RNAcentral lists this ribosomal RNA (516 nucleotides) under uncultured bacterium. RNAcentral's name for it is "bacterial SSU rRNA". It matches the Rfam family "Bacterial small subunit ribosomal RNA", at positions 1 to 528 of the family's 1533-position model. The record is from RNAcentral.
GGGCGAUUGGGGUUUGAUCCUGGCUCAGGACGAACGCUGGCGGCGUGCUUAACACAUGCAAGUCGAACGAGGCCCCGCCUUCGGGUGGGUGUUCUAGUGGCGAACGGGUGAGUAACACGUGGGCAACCUGCCCCCGGCUCUGGGAUAACUCCAAGAAAUUGGGGCUAAUACCGGAUAUUUCCGCUGACCGCAUGGUCUGGUGGUGGAAAGGGUUUCCGGCUGGGGAUGGGCCCGCGGCCUAUCAGCUUGUUGGUGGGGUAGUGGCCUACCAAGGCGACGACGGGUAGCCGGCCUGAGAGGGUGACCGGCCACACUGGGACUGAGACACGGCCCAGACUCCUACGGGAGGCAGCAGUGGGGAAUAUUGCGCAAUGGGCGAAAGCCUGACGCAGCGACGCCGCGUGGGGGAUGACGGCCUUCGGGUUGUAAACCUCUUUCAGCAGGGACGAAGCGCAAGUGACGGUACCUGCAGAAGAAGCACCGGCCAACUACGUGCCAGCAGCCGCGGUAAUAGCU